Molecule: RNA transcript, 2022 nt
Organism: Papaver somniferum (opium poppy)
Lineage: Eukaryota; Viridiplantae; Streptophyta; Magnoliopsida; Ranunculales; Papaveraceae
Exons: 8
Source: RefSeq, a predicted model, not a curated record
UAAAAAUUUAAAAUUUUCAAACAAGGAAAACCCCAGCAAACAAAAAUCAAUUUUUUAAAAAUAAUUAAAGAAACCCAGUACUACAAAUUCAUCAAAUUACAAUAACAAGAUCCAACGGGAAACCCAUAAAUAACAAAUAUCCUAAAAAAAUCAAAAUCCAAUAAACACCCUUUUAACUCCAAGGACCAUAAGCAUAUUCCUUAUCUUUGCGUCAAAACUAACUAAUUUUUUAAGAGAGAGAUAGAGAGAUCCGGCAGGCUACACCAAAAGGAAGGAACUUGAGGUUAAGAACGGUUAUUAUUAGUUAAACAAACAACUCCGAUACUAGUGUUUGAGCUACCAUGGAUUAUGAAACAGAGACAUACACAUAAUAUGAUUGGUCAAGUAUUAAAGUAGGCAAGGGAAGGAACAACUCUGAUACUGGUGUUUCAGCUAUCAAGGAUGCUAAAUGGGUAGUCAAGAAAAGGAUCUUGCCACCAGUAGUCAAGGGAAAGAACAACCCUGGUUCUCCAGCUACAUGGAUAGACAGAUACUUCAUGAACAUAAGAUAUAGACUUAGAUGUGCACGUGAUGGUUCCCUAAAAAUAACUAGAUCUGAAAUCAAGGAACCAUCAAUAGAUUUAAAGUCUUCACUUAAGAUGUUUUUCCAAGUAGCAGCAUGUGAUGCACAUGACUGGACGGAUGUCAACAGAAGUUACCGUGACAGGAGGUCAUUCCCUAUGUUUCUUGGCCUGUUAAAACUGUCUGGACUGGGAAAGUAUGCCUUCAAUGAGGAUACAUUCUUACAGGACGAUGACAUGAAUAUUAGGUACCCGCAAGAUAGAUAUUGGUUACCCCAUAAGGUGUCGCCAGAUGUUGUGGUUGCAAAUAAAUACUAUGAUGGAAGCUUUUCGUUGAUGAGACUUUUGCAAAGAAUUCGUUCAGAAUCUGCCGAUCAUUUCAGGAAAGAGCAGAUACAGCAGGAGCAGCGGUUUAUUUCCAAGAGUUUCUCGGAGCAUCUGGAACAAUUGAGAAAAUCUGGUGAAGUUGCAUUUUCUUCCAAUCCUUUUAACGAUGAUGAUGGAGAUAGGCCCAAGUGUCCUAUUAUAAGUUCUGAUAACACCAUGGACUCCUAUAUGUGGCAACAAAAGCACCUAUUAGAUAGUCUGUGUAUCAUGUCACACGAAUCAGUUUGGUUGUUGAAGAAACUCAAGGAUUCCCCUUUUACUAGUCCCUCAUCCAUCCUGGAGUUCAACAAGAUUCUUGACAUCGUCUUGGUUUUUAUUCCAAAGUUCAAGAAAUCAAAGGAAUUGUUGGAUCAAUGUCUUCUCAUGUUAUAUGCCCACACUAUAAGUUACCCGUUUCAAUUGAUUGUGGGUAAUAAUGAAAUAUUACAUAGUUUUAGAGGGUGCAUAAAAGAUCUCCAGGAGCAAGGUGUUGAAAGAAAUUCUCUUGCGGAAACACUGCUCGGAUGUUUUGUAGAUGUAGUCAAUAUGUACUACAACCUCGCAGAUUUAGGCGAUCCAUUCGGGGACACCUGUUCUUCCAUUUAAUAUUCCUUUUCUGAGGCUGCCAAACAAACAUCAGAGCUGAUAAAUGAAGCAGUAGAUAAACUAAAUUCAGUCAGGUUUUCUAAUCUUACCGGCGGAGGCUCUCCACUUUGAUGUAUAGCUUUAUGGAGAAUUCUAUUUGAAUCGUCUCUAAUUAAUCUUCGGUUGGAUCUUAUAUGUAAAAAGCACAGUGAAACAGUCGAACACGGGGUUAAACUGUUUGGCACUGCCACAAACGAUCAAUUGGAUCAAAUUAGGUUGUCGAUUGAUGAACUAUUGACAGUUGGGGAAAGCGUCCUAGUUGAAUUUAUAGCCAUGCACAAAACGGUGGCAGAAGUUUCUUAUAUGCUAGGAGAUGAUUUUACAACUGGUGGUGCUGGUAUGAGGGGUUUGAGUGAUGUUACGCAUCCAUGCAAGCACAAUGACCAAUUAAUGGAUUUCAACCCUGAAGAUUUCCCUUGGGAUAAACACAAUGUUCCUAGUUCUACGAUUG